RNAcentral lists this ribosomal RNA (331 nucleotides) under uncultured eukaryote. RNAcentral's name for it is "partial 18S ribosomal RNA". It matches the Rfam family "Eukaryotic small subunit ribosomal RNA", at positions 1469 to 1796 of the family's 1831-position model. The record is from RNAcentral.
UCCCUUAGAUGUUCUGGGCCGUACGCGCGCUACACUGAUGCAUUCAACGAGUCUAAAACCUGGUCUGAUAGGGCUGGGUAAUCUUUUGAAUGUGCAUCGUGAUUGGGAUAGAUGAUUGCAAUUCUUCAUCUUCAACGAGGAAUGCCUAGUAAACGCAAGUCAUCAGCUUGCAUUGAUUACGUCCCUGCCCUUUGUACACACCGCCCGUCGCUCCUACCGAUUGAAUGUUCCGAUGAAUACCAUGGACUGAGAGUAUGAAUGGGUUCGCCUAUUUCUGCUUCUCGGGAAGUGGAGUAAAUCUUAACAUUUAGAGGAAGGAGAAGUCGUAACA